Molecule: ribosomal RNA, 506 nt
Filed under: uncultured bacterium
Lineage: Bacteria
Description: partial 16S ribosomal RNA
Rfam family: Bacterial small subunit ribosomal RNA
Source: RNAcentral
AUUGAACGCUGGCGGCAGGCCUAACACAUGCAAGUCGAACGGUAACAGGAAACAGCUUGCUGUUUCGCUGACGAGUGGCGGACGGGUGAGUAAUGUCUGGGAAACUGCCUGAUGGAGGGGGAUAACUACUGGAAACGGUAGCUAAUACCGCAUAACGUCGCAAGACCAAAGAGGGGGACCUUCGGGCCUCUUGCCAUCGGAUGUGCCCAGAUGGGAUUAGCUAGUAGGUGGGGUAACGGCUCACCUAGGCGACGAUCCCUAGCUGGGCUGAGAUGAUGAGCAGCCACACUGGAACUGAGACACGGUCCAGACGCAUACGGGAGGCAUCAGUGGGGAAUAUUGCACAAUGGGCGCAAGCCUGAUGCAGCCAUGCCGCGUGUAUGAAGAAGGCCUUCGGGUUGUAAAGUACUUUCAGCGGGGAGGAAGGGAGUAAAGUUAAUACCUUUGCUCAUUGACGUUACCCGCAGAAGAAGCACCGGCUAACUCCGUGCCAGCCGCCGCGGUAA